GCCCGGAUGGCGGAACGGUAGACGCUGUGGACUUAAAAUCCAUUGCCAGUAAUGGCGUGAGGGUUCGAUUCCCUCUCUGGGCACCA
Molecule: transfer RNA, 86 nt
Filed under: Puniceicoccales bacterium
Lineage: Bacteria; Pseudomonadati; Verrucomicrobiota; Opitutia; Puniceicoccales
Description: tRNA-Leu
Rfam family: tRNA
About the family: Transfer RNA (tRNA) molecules are approximately 80 nucleotides in length.
Source: RNAcentral